UACCUAGAAUACUUUAUCAAACACUCUUC
This 29-nucleotide non-coding RNA is filed under the name Rattus norvegicus (Norway rat). Lineage: Eukaryota; Metazoa; Chordata; Mammalia; Rodentia; Muridae. The record is from RNAcentral.